RNAcentral lists this ribosomal RNA (886 nucleotides) under Bacillus sp. (in: firmicutes). RNAcentral's name for it is "bacterial SSU rRNA". It matches the Rfam family "Bacterial small subunit ribosomal RNA", at positions 57 to 926 of the family's 1533-position model. Lineage: Bacteria; Bacillati; Bacillota; Bacilli; Caryophanales; Bacillaceae. The record is from RNAcentral.
GCAGUCGAGCGGACAGAUGGGAGCUUGCUCCCUGAUGUUAGCGGCGGACGGGUGAGUAACACGUGGGUAACCUGCCUGUAAGACUGGGAUAACUCCGGGAAACCGGGGCUAAUACCGGAUGCUUGAUUGAACCGCAUGGUUCAAUUAUAAAAGGUGGCUUUUAGCUACCACUUACAGAUGGACCCGCGGCGCAUUAGCUAGUUGGUGAGGUAACGGCUCACCAAGGCAACGAUGCGUAGCCAACCUGAGAGGGUGAUCGGCCACACUGGGACUGAGACACGGCCCAAACUCCUACGGGAGGCAGCAGUAGGGAAUCUUCCGCAAUGGACGAAAGUCUGACGGAGCAACGCCGCGUGAGUGAUGAAGGUUUUCGGAUCGUAAAACUCUGUUGUUAGGGAAGAACAAGUACCGUUCGAAUAGGGCGGUACCUUGACGGUACCUAACCAGAAAGCCACGGCUAACUACGUGCCAGCAGCCGCGGUAAUACGUAGGUGGCAAGCGUUGUCCGGAAUUAUUGGGCGUAAAGCGCGCGCAGGCGGUUUCUUAAGUCUGAUGUGAAAGCCCCCGGCUCAACCGGGGAGGGUCAUUGGAAACUGGGGAACUUGAGUGCAGAAGAGGAGAGUGGAAUUCCACGUGUAGCGGUGAAAUGCGUAGAGAUGUGGAGGAACACCAGUGGCGAAGGCGACUCUCUGGUCUGUAACUGACGCUGAGGCGCGAAAGCGUGGGGAGCGAACAGGAUUAGAUACCCUGGUAGUCCACGCCGUAACGAUGAGUGCUAAGUGUUAGAGGGUUUCCGCCCUUUAGUGCUGCAGCAAACGCAUUAAGCACUCCGCCUGGGGGAGUACGGUCGCAAGACUGAACUCAAGGAAUUGACGGGGGCCCGCAC